UCAUCUAACAAAACGAGCAGUGAAAAUAUGGUUCAUUUACGACUUGGGUUACUGGAGGAAGUCUCAAAAGAAAAAUGCAGAUCCUCUACAGAUUAUUUAUAGCUUGCCUCGUGUUCCUCACGGAAGGAGUGCUAUGUUGCUGUUCUCGAGAGGGAAACCUAACAAACUAUCUUCUGAAUACUACUCGUUACAGCAUGAGGUUCCGACCAGUUCUCCAUGACAACCACACCCUAAAAAUUCGACACAGUUUGAUUCUUUACCGGAUUGUUAAAGUUGAUGAAAAACAUCAUAAAAUUGACUUAGAUGUACGGAUAAAAAUGCAAUGGAAAGAUCAGAACUUAAAAUGGAAUACUUCAGAUUAUGGCGACAUAAAGCAAGUGAACUUAGAUGGAAAUGAAAUAUGGACACCCCAUAUAAUAUUGUACAACAAUGCGGACUUUAACGACUCGGAGACAAGUUCCUUCAAAGCUACGGUGACGUAUGAUGGUAAUGUCACGUGGGUCGUUCCCAUUUUAACAAUGAGCUCUUGCAAAAUAAACGUGCUAAAUUUUCCGUUGGACGAACAGUUGUGUAAAUUGACAUUCGGAUCUUGGAACUAUGACAUCACUAAGCUCAACAUUCACCCGGGUAGUGACAUCAUAUUCACACAGCAUUACCUUCCCAAUGGAGAAUGGCAACUGAUCAGCACUCGCUCAGAACGAAGCCUUAUGUCACACUUAUGCUGCAAGACUAUGGUGUCAGGAGUUUCGUAUGUUUUACACAUCAGACGGCUAUCUCCGUUUUAUGUCAUAAAUUUCAUCGUGCCUUGCGCGCUUAUUUCAGUGUUGACACUCCUCGUGUUUCUAAUGCCUGAAGACACCGGCGAGCGGAUGGCAGUAGGAGUUACAAUACUUCUCUCGCUGGCAGUAUUUUUCUUAAUGGUGGAGGAGAAGUUGCCAGUUUCGGAGAACCUUCCAUUGAUUGGUAAAUACUACUGCGGUACAAUUAUCGAAGUUGCGCUGGCCCUUGUUGCCAUGUGUUAUGUGUUGCGGUUUGUUCAUCACCAGGCCCACGCAUUGCCAAGCUGGAUAAAGAAAUAUAUUUUAGGAUAUCUGGCGCGAAUCGUAUUCUACAAAACCGAACAAGUAAAAGCUGAGCAAGAGCAGACACCACACAUUAAACCACAAAAAGACCAGAAGGAUUCGCGAGCACCCCGCGGGAGUGAAGAAAGCGAGAAGGCAGUGCGAACAACAGUAAAUAAAUGGAGAAAACCCUUACAUGAAAAGAAGCCUGAGCUCCCUGCUGCCGAGUCCCGCGCGGUCAAAAUCCUGGCUGACAGUGUGAAAGAGCAAGACAAGAAAGAUGAACUACAAGAUCAGUGGGUCCUGGCGGCCAAUGUGCUCAACAGAUUCUUUAUCUGCUUGUUUCUUGCCUCUGUUGUCAUAACUCUUAUUGCUGUAUUUGCAGUGGAUACACGAUUUGAAAACUAAGCCAUAAGUAUUCGCUAGAUGUGUUUGAAGCAGCAGUGUCUUAAGUAACCAAAAAAAAAAACACCUUUUUCAGCGCAAUUUUUCACUUCCCUUUGAAUAAAUUUACGAUAAAGCCAUGACUCAAAAAUUGAAUUUUUGAACUGAUUCAGAAAAGAAUUCAGAGAUGAGUAAGUAACAAAACAAAAACAAAAACAAAAAAACAAAUGCACUUGAAAAGAAUAAGAAAUCAUUGACAAGGAAGAGCAAAAUUAUUUUUCUAUGACAACAAAAAAUGUUCACAUGGUUCUACGAAAUUUGUUUACUUGGAGACGUCAUAUGUUUACGACUAAUCUAGAAAUAACAUUCACACCUCUUCCCUAUCCACCCCCUUCUCAUCCCUUCACAACAGAUAAUGCUA
Molecule: unclassified non-coding RNA, 1866 nt
Filed under: Pocillopora damicornis (cauliflower coral)
Lineage: Eukaryota; Metazoa; Cnidaria; Anthozoa; Scleractinia; Pocilloporidae
Description: acetylcholine receptor subunit alpha-like, transcript variant X2
Source: RNAcentral